Alexandromys fortis (reed vole) is the source of this 464-nucleotide long non-coding RNA. RefSeq lists it as uncharacterized. The transcript is spliced from 3 exons. The record is from RefSeq and is a predicted model, not a curated record. NCBI's taxonomy places the organism in Eukaryota, Metazoa, Chordata, Mammalia, Rodentia, Cricetidae.
CUGAGUCGGGUGGCCCGGCAGGCUGCGCACCAGCUGCCGCAGCAGCACCGAGCUCCACGCCCACCACCCUGCCUGCGCGAGCGGCCCGGCUGCCGGGCCUGACCCGGUUCCGAGGCCCCGGCGCCGCUGCAGCCCCAGCCCCUCCCGGCCCGCCCGGCCGCUUCUCCUGGCGCCGCAAAGAAAAUGGACCCUGAGGCUCACCGAUCUGAGGCUCCCAUUUUCCACUUCGCCUUUAAAAAAGGGGAAAGGUGGUUCGGUUUAUCUUUAAUCUGUAAAGAAACAAUGGAGAGACUGGAUUCCACACUGGAUUUGAAACAUUGGAAUCGGUCAGUAAAUCUAAGGAGGUUCACAUCAUGACGCUGAUGAAAAAGGAACCCUAUACCUAGAUGUUCCGCAGAAACUCUGACGCGGGAUAACUUCUGGACUCCUCUGAGUCCUGUAUCUUCAAAGGCAUUGCAAUAAAG